UGCGUAGGCGGAUUAAUAAGUCAGUGGUGAAAUCUCUCGGCUCAACCGGGAAACUGCCAUUGAUACUGUUAGUCUUGAGUUCGGUUGAGGUAGGCGGAAUGUGUAAUGUAGCGGUGAAAUGCUUAGAUAUUACACAGAACACCAAUUGCGUAGGCAGCUUACUAGACCGACACUGACGCUGAGGCACGAAAGCGUGGGGAGCGAACAGGAUUAGAUACCCUGGUAGUCC
RNAcentral lists this ribosomal RNA (229 nucleotides) under uncultured bacterium. RNAcentral describes it as "partial 16S ribosomal RNA". It matches the Rfam family "Bacterial small subunit ribosomal RNA", at positions 568 to 796 of the family's 1533-position model. The record is from RNAcentral.